GUCCACAAGAACGCUUCCGGAUUCGAUACUACGGCAUCUCGUAAAGAUCAAAAUGGCCACGCGUUCGCUUUUUGGGCUGUGACUGAAAGAAGAAAGCUGAACGUAAAGCGAUUGCUCAACCAGAUGCAGAAUGGAUGAAAGGAGCAAAUGAGGAGGUGUGAGGGGAAGGAAAGAUGGAAGCAGAGGAGGUCAUGCUGCAGUCUGCUGGCUCCUUUCCGAGGGCAGCACCGUUUCCAGGGCACAAAGCAAAACUGAUAAAUCCAAUAUAGUUCUCUGUCUGUGCAAGGAUUCAAAAGAGGUGACAGACAGAGAGGGAGGGAGUGCGCAUGGGGGUUUCUGUUGCUGUGCAGAACCCCCUGACCUGCAGGAAGCCAUGUGAAGCCACGUGUGACGUUAAUAACACGGAGGGCAGGAUCUCCUCCAGGUUUUCUCUGAGCGUCAAGGUUUCUUUUUUUUCUCCUUUUUGUUUUCCUUUGUCCUACCUCAAUCUGUUUGUCUGGGUUUUUUUUACGCUAAAAUGAACACCUCCUCUCUCCUGUCGCUGUAUUAGUUUAACAUGCAUGAGCAGCCGCAUGGUCAUGGCUCCACAUUUUACCAGUUUCCCACUAUUUGCCCGUACCCCAGCGCCUUUCCUCCCCUUUUUCGCACCUUCUUGUUAAAAAUGUGUUGUUUUUCCGAUUCGACACUAAUAAAGAAAGAACUACCGCUGCCA
This is a long non-coding RNA of Oryzias melastigma (Indian medaka), 712 nucleotides long. RefSeq lists it as uncharacterized. NCBI's taxonomy places the organism in Eukaryota, Metazoa, Chordata, Actinopteri, Beloniformes, Adrianichthyidae. The transcript has 2 exons. The record is from RefSeq and is a predicted model, not a curated record.